AACUCAAGAAAUUGAUGAUUAAUCAAAUAGCUGACUUGAUUUUGAAGGCUUGAAGGCUGAAGCAAGUGAAUUAUUGAUAUGAAUUGCCGAUAUUUUAAUACUAGUAUCUACUUUUUGGUAUAUGUAUACAUUGGUAAAUUAAUGUUAUUGGACAACUUGUUACUUAUAUGUUUUUAA
Olea europaea var. sylvestris is the source of this 177-nucleotide long non-coding RNA. RefSeq lists it as uncharacterized. The record is from RefSeq and is a predicted model, not a curated record. The transcript has 2 exons. Lineage: Eukaryota; Viridiplantae; Streptophyta; Magnoliopsida; Lamiales; Oleaceae.